AGAAAAGUAGGUGCUGCCCCGCACAGGGGCAACGCUAAUAGACCACUAACAAUUCAAGGAAAGGCCAACAACCCUAAGACCAAGACCAAAACCAAACCACGC
This 102-nucleotide small RNA is filed under the name Paraburkholderia fungorum. RNAcentral's name for it is "sRNA Bp1_Cand684_SIPHT". It matches the Rfam family "Burkholderia sRNA Bp1_Cand684_SIPHT". Lineage: Bacteria; Pseudomonadati; Pseudomonadota; Betaproteobacteria; Burkholderiales; Burkholderiaceae. The record is from RNAcentral.